RNAcentral lists this ribosomal RNA (363 nucleotides) under uncultured eukaryote. Its description in RNAcentral is "SSU rRNA". It matches the Rfam family "Eukaryotic small subunit ribosomal RNA", at positions 567 to 937 of the family's 1831-position model. The record is from RNAcentral.
CCAGCAGCCGCGGUAAUUCCAGCUCCAAUAGCGUAUAUUAAAGUUGUUGCAGUUAAAAAGCUCGUAGUUGAAUUUUGGGUCAGACCGGUUGGUCCGCUGAACGGCGAGUACUGACUGGUUUGGCCUUCCUUCUGGCUAUCAGGUCUGCCUUUAAACGGGUGGGCCUGAGAACCAGGACUUUUACUUUGAAAAAAUUAGAGUGUUCAAAGCAAGCUUACGCUUGAAUACAUUAGCAUGGAAUAAUAAAAUAGGAUUUUGGUUCUAUUUUGUUGGUUUCUAGGACCAAGGUAAUGAUUAAUAGGGACAGUUGGGGACAUUAGUAUUUCAGUGCUAGAGGUGAAAUUCUUGGAUUUCUGAAAGACU